CAAAGACUAAAAAUCAACCUAAUAAUAAGUUACCAAAGUCCUAGAGGGUAGAAAACACUAUACGUACUUGUCCAAGAAUAUUGACAUGGUAUGUGGAUGAAUCUUAUCAACCAACAGUCCUUUGUGUCGUGUUACUCCUUAGCUCGAAUAUCUACUAUUGGUGGCCACCUUCUCCUGUCAUAUCCCAACAGAAACAAUCCACCAACAGACUGAGCAAACCUAAACUCACAAUUCCCAACCAAUAUUGAAGGUGUGAUCGGUGCUUUACUCUCAUCACGGCGAGGUCGGUGAAUUGUAUAUGGCGCUUCAAUUGUAUCCACUUCCUAUGGAGGCAUAGAACUCCAUGGGACUGCAGCCCGACAGCCUCCACACCAUAAUCAUCAUCCAGACGCUACAUGCAUAACAGAAAAAAUAAAAUCAAAAGGAUUGAAGCCAAUGAGAUCGUGGAUAUAUACGGAUCAAGGCAGGGAAUCGCACAUUGAUAGGCCAAACCACCUUGAGGCCUAAUGCCAGCAACAGUAAUAGAAGAGAUGGCCAAGCUUCUUUUUCAUUCUGCCGCCAUCAGUCUCAAUAUUUUUUUCUUUGAGGGAAUCCAGUCUUUCCAGCACGAGUCAGCUAUGUGCGGGACGAAUAUGGGCC
This 639-nucleotide long non-coding RNA is filed under the name Triticum aestivum (bread wheat). RNAcentral describes it as "long non-coding RNA (TAES_LNC003421)". Lineage: Eukaryota; Viridiplantae; Streptophyta; Magnoliopsida; Poales; Poaceae. The record is from RNAcentral.